Non-coding RNA from Pelobates cultripes (western spadefoot toad), 148 nucleotides. The record is from the annotation of a GenBank genome assembly. NCBI's taxonomy places the organism in Eukaryota, Metazoa, Chordata, Amphibia, Anura, Pelobatidae.
CAGACAGUCCCCCUGCUGGUGGGAAAUGUAAAAAAAUUAAAAAUAAACAUGUGUAAAAUUAAUUAAAUGUAUUUAUAUACAUUUAAUUAAUUUUACACAUGUUUAAUUUUUAUUUUUUUACAUUUCCCACCAGCAGGGGGACUGUCUG